UUUAAUGCGAAGAAGAGAAAUAGUAUACAAGUAGCUUCUAAAGAGAGUCGAUGGUUGGUGUGAAUCGAUGUAGUAAAUUGUUGAAUCCAUCUCUGAGUGUUCUGCUGAAGGAAACAGUAUGUAGAAACGAUUAGCACCCGUUAAAGUGCUUUAAGGUGGAUUAGUAUUCUAAUCAACUAGGGUGGCAACGCGGAGAGCUCGUCUUUCGUCCCUUUU
Molecule: non-coding RNA, 216 nt
Filed under: Alkaliphilus oremlandii
Lineage: Bacteria; Bacillati; Bacillota; Clostridia; Peptostreptococcales; Natronincolaceae
Description: T-box sequence
Rfam family: T-box leader
About the family: Uncharged tRNA acts as the effector for transcription antitermination of genes in the T-box leader family. T-boxes are found upstream of many aminoacyl-tRNA synthetase genes and some amino acid biosynthetic genes usually in Gram-positive bacteria. The anticodon of a specific tRNA base pairs to a specifier sequence within the T-box motif, and the NCCA acceptor tail of the tRNA base pairs to a conserved bulge in the T-box antiterminator hairpin.
Source: RNAcentral